This 328-nucleotide ribosomal RNA is filed under the name uncultured Bacteroidota bacterium. Its description in RNAcentral is "bacterial SSU rRNA". It matches the Rfam family "Bacterial small subunit ribosomal RNA", at positions 28 to 351 of the family's 1533-position model. Lineage: Bacteria; Pseudomonadati; Bacteroidota. The record is from RNAcentral.
GAUGAACGCUAGCGGGAGGCUUAACACAUGCAAGUCGAGGGGCAGCACGAGAUAGCAAUAUUUUGGUGGCGACCGGCGCACGGGUGAGUAACACGUAUGCAACCUACCCUGUACAGGGGGAUAACCCGGAGAAAUUCGGACUAAUAUCCCAUAAUGAUAUUUGAAGGCAUCUUCAGAUAUUUAAAGUUUCGACGGUACGAGAUGGGCAUGCGUGACAUUAGCUAGUUGGUAAGGUAACGGCUUACCAAGGCUACGAUGUCUAGGGGUCCUGAGAGGGUGAUCCCCCACACUGGUACUGAGACACGGACCAGACUCCUACGGGAGGCUG